RNAcentral lists this ribosomal RNA (300 nucleotides) under uncultured bacterium. RNAcentral's name for it is "bacterial SSU rRNA". It matches the Rfam family "Bacterial small subunit ribosomal RNA", at positions 496 to 795 of the family's 1533-position model. The record is from RNAcentral.
GCUAACUACGUGCCAGCAGCCGCGGUAAGACGUAGGGGGCGAGCGUUGCCCGGAAUCACUGGGCGUAAAGGGGGCGUAGGCGGUCUCAUAAGUCAGGUGUGAAAUGUCACUGCUCAACGGUGUCAGUGCGCUUGAAACUGUGAGACUUGAGGGUACCAGAGGUAGACGGAAUUACCUGAGUAGGGGUGAAAUCCGUAGAUACAGGUAAGAACGCCAGUGGGGAAGCCGGUCUACUGGGGUGACCCUGACGCUGAGGCCCGAAAGCUAGGGUAGCAAACCGGAUUAGAUACCCUGGUAGUC